RNAcentral lists this ribosomal RNA (497 nucleotides) under uncultured bacterium. Its description in RNAcentral is "partial 16S ribosomal RNA". It matches the Rfam family "Bacterial small subunit ribosomal RNA", at positions 28 to 507 of the family's 1533-position model. The record is from RNAcentral.
GACGAACGCUGGCGGCGUGCCUAAUACAUGCAAGUAGAACGCUGAAGAGAGGAGCUUGCUCUUCUUGGAUGAGUUGCGAACGGGUGAGUAACGCGUAGGUAACCUGCCUUGUAGCGGGGGAUAACUAUUGGAAACGAUAGCUAAUACCGCAUAACAAUGGCUGACACAUGUCAUUUAUUUGAAAGGGGCAAUUGCUCCACUACAAGAUGGACCUGCGUUGUAUUAGCUAGUAGGUGAGGUAAUGGCUCACCUAGGCGACGAUACAUAGCCGACCUGAGAGGGUGAUCGGCCACACUGGGACUGAGACACGGCCCAGACUCCUACGGGAGGCAGCAGUAGGGAAUCUUCGGCAAUGGGGGCAACCCUGACCGAGCAACGCCGCGUGAGUGAAGAAGGUUUUCGGAUCGUAAAGCUCUGUUGUACGUCAAGAACGGGUGUGAGAGUGGAAAGUUCACACUGUGACGGUAGCUUACCAGAAAGGGACGGCUAACUACGUG